Molecule: non-coding RNA, 847 nt
Organism: Phascolarctos cinereus (koala)
Lineage: Eukaryota; Metazoa; Chordata; Mammalia; Diprotodontia; Phascolarctidae
Source: RefSeq, a predicted model, not a curated record
GACUAGUGCUGAGAAAGCCUUGAUACCGGCUGACAUUUAUACACCACGCUGAGGUUUACAAGGUGCUCUGCAGAGCUGUGUCAUUGGAAUCCCACAAUGCCCGUGUGGGGAAACAUUGCUGCACCUUGAAAUCUUUUCUUGCUAGAAAGUGAUGCCCUAACUUCUGCACUCAGGAACACUUGAACUUUGGGUUACCCACAAAGCAACACACAAAUCUGGCAUCAUCCCCAAAAUUCCUCUUCUCUGGCUCAAGGCCAGGUCGUAGAGCCCACUGCCUUGGGAAUCAACAAUCCCCUCCCUGAAGCAAGAGGUUGGGGCUCUGCCAAAACCUUCCUGGAGCUUCCUUCUCCAUCCAUGAGUGGGAGCACACAUCCACCCCUGCUAUGUGCCUCUACUGCAAGUGGCCGUUGCUGCUUCCAGAAAGAGGAGCAAAAGAAAAGGAAAAGAGGAAGUGUUGGGAAGAUUUUGAAGCCCCUGUAACAAAUGGGCUGUCAGAGAUUACCUGCUGUGACAAAUCUGCUGACAGAGGCCCUGAGUCACAGGAGUUAUUGGUGCCCCCCCCACCACGGCCCCCACCCCAGGAAGACAAGGUGCACUGGUCCAGCUGCUUCAUGCUGAGUCUCUCUCCCCUCUUCCAGUGGAGAAAAGGCAAAGGGAUCUGGUUCGGGGACCUGUGAGGGCCAUUGGCUCUAGGAGACCCCAGGCCCAGAACCUUGUGCUGAGCACUUACUCGAGCCAUCCACUUUCUCAUUCAACCUGGGAUUUGUUCUCAGCAGAGUCCUUUUAGACUGUAAGCUCCCUGAGGACAGGCACCAGGUUAGGUUUCAUCUGGUUUUUCCAGCUCUGG